This 303-nucleotide ribosomal RNA is filed under the name uncultured bacterium. Its description in RNAcentral is "bacterial SSU rRNA". It matches the Rfam family "Bacterial small subunit ribosomal RNA", at positions 355 to 651 of the family's 1533-position model. The record is from RNAcentral.
UAGGGAAUUUUCGUCAAUGGGCGCAAGCCUGAACGAGCAAUGCCGCGUGAACGAGGAAGGUCUUCGGAUCGUAAAGUUCUGUUGAAGGGGAAAAAGAGCGGAGAGAGGAAAUGGUCUCCGAUUGAUAUUACCCUUCGAGGAAGUCACGGCUAACUACGUGCCAGCAGCCGCGGUAAUACGUAGGUGGCGAGCGUUAUCCGGAAUGAUUGGGCGUAAAGGGUGCGUAGGCGGCCUGCUAAGUCUGGAGUGAAAGGUACCGGCUCAACCGGUACAGGCUCUGGAAACUGGCGGGCUAGAGAGCAG